ACUGCUCAGUAACACGUCGAUAAUCUGCCCAUAGGUCAGGCAUAACCUCUGGAAACUGAGGCUAACACCUGAUAAGGAAAUUCUACUGGAAUGUUUUUUUCCAUAAACUUCGGGCCUAUGGAUGAGUCGGCGGUCGAUUAGGUAGUUGGUGAGGUAAAGGCUCACCAAGCCUAUGAUCGAUAGGGGCCUUGAGAGAGGUAACCUCGAGAAGGGCACUGAGAUACAGGCCCUAGCCCUACGGGGUGCAGCAGGCGCGUAACCUUUACAAUGCACGAAAGUGUGAUAAGGGAAUCCUAAGUGCUUUGCUUUAAGUAAAGCUUUUGCCAUGCGUAAAUAACAUGGCGAAUGAGUGGUGGGUAAGACUUGUGCCAGCCGCCGCGGUAACACCAGCGCCACAAGUGGCAACCGCUUUUAUUGGGCCUAAAGCGUCCGUAGCCGGUUUAGUAAAUUUCCUGUGAAAUCGUUGGGCUUAACCUAACGACGUGCAGGAAAGACUGCUGAACUAGGGACCGGGAGGCGUCAGAGGUAUUCUUGAGGGAGCGGUAAAAUGCUAUAAUCUCAGGAGGACCCCCUGUGGCGAAAGCGUCUGACGAGAACGGAUCCGACGGUGAGGGACGAAAGCUAGGGGGGCAAACCGGAUUAGAUACCCGAGUAGUCCUAGCUGUAAACUCUGCGAGCUAGGUGUUGCGUAUUCUUCGGGAAUAUGCAGUGUCGAAGCGAAGGUGUUAAGCUCGCCGCCUGGGAAUUAUGGUCGCAAGACUGAAACUUAAAGGAAUUGGCGGGGGAGCAC
RNAcentral lists this ribosomal RNA (790 nucleotides) under uncultured archaeon. RNAcentral's name for it is "bacterial SSU rRNA". It matches the Rfam family "Archaeal small subunit ribosomal RNA", at positions 85 to 879 of the family's 1478-position model. The record is from RNAcentral.